Nicotiana attenuata is the source of this 752-nucleotide long non-coding RNA. RefSeq lists it as uncharacterized. Lineage: Eukaryota; Viridiplantae; Streptophyta; Magnoliopsida; Solanales; Solanaceae. The record is from RefSeq and is a predicted model, not a curated record. The transcript is spliced from 6 exons.
UCUAUGAAAGUUCAUUGGAAUUUACUCAGCUCCAUCUCUUCUCCUCUCUAUCUUCUGUCGAGUUUUCUCCGUGAGCCUUUGCUGGAUUUCUCAAUAACAAUACGACUGGUUUACUUCUGAAAAGUUUCUUUGUUGAAACUCUGCCGCAAGCAAGUGAAAGUUGGAUAACAAAGGCUAAAGUGCCCAUGUACUGAGAUUUGAAAAAAAAAGCCAAUUGUAACAACCCGAUUACCUGGUAGUCAACGACAAUGUAUCAGUCUCUUAGGGCUCAAAACAGCUAUGUCAAUAGUGGCAAGAGAAAGAUCCAUCACUCAGAUCACCACUUUUCUGAUAGCAAUAGGAGAACGGAGAAUUGAAAUUGAAGAGCUUUAGUAUACGUUGCAGCUGAAAAUGACUAUGGAAAACCUUAACAAAUACUAACUCACCAUCAGGAACAGUAAAGCUUCAAAUUUUAUGAAGAGCAUCAAUGAGCUGUCAUUCCGUCUAUAUCAAGAACAAUUCGUUUUAUCGUGUUUGCCUCUUCCAAUGGCCUUCAACAACAAAAAAAUCCCAAUGACAGAACUUUUUAUGGUUGAAAUCUUACGGCAUGUGCUUAAAUUUGUUCAGGUACAACUGCUAGAAGAGACAAAAGAAUUCCUGAAUGCCUUUACAGAAAUACUGUAUUUUAUGGUAUACCUUUACUACCCAUUCAAAGAUUGAUGUCCUCAAAGUUAUCAUUCAGACUACAAAAUCCUCAACCUGCUAGAGGCCAC